CCUACGGGAGGCAGCAGUGAGGAAUAUUGGUCAAUGGACGAGAGUCUGAACCAGCCAAGUAGCGUGAAGGAUGACUGCCCUAUGGGUUGUAAACUUCUUUUAUAAAGGAAUAAAACGAGGCACGUGUGCCUUUUUGCAUGUACUUUAUGAAUAAGGAUCGGCUAACUCCGUGCCAGCAGCCGCGGUAAUACGGAGGAUCCGAGCGUUAUCCGGAUUUAUUGGGUUUAAAGGGAGCGUAGAUGGGUUGUUAAGUCAGUUGUGAAAGUUUGCGGCUCAACCGUAAAAUUGCAAUUGAUACUGGCAGUCGUGAGUACAGUUGAGGUAGGCGGAAUUCGUGGUGUAGUGGUGAAAUGCUUAGAUAUCACGAAGAACCCCGAUUGCGAAGGCAGCUUACUAAACUGUGACUGACAUUGAUGCUCGAAAGUGUGGGUAUCAAACAGGAUUAGAUACCCGGGUAGUC
Molecule: ribosomal RNA, 460 nt
Filed under: uncultured bacterium
Lineage: Bacteria
Description: partial 16S ribosomal RNA
Rfam family: Bacterial small subunit ribosomal RNA
Source: RNAcentral